Carassius gibelio (silver crucian carp) is the source of this 598-nucleotide long non-coding RNA. RefSeq lists it as uncharacterized. NCBI's taxonomy places the organism in Eukaryota, Metazoa, Chordata, Actinopteri, Cypriniformes, Cyprinidae. The transcript has 3 exons. The record is from RefSeq and is a predicted model, not a curated record.
AGUUUCUCCAUCUCUCCUGAAUCCACAGAGCAGCUCAUCACCAUCUGCUCUCAGCUUUCUUUCAGUCAUGUGGAGAAAUCAGUCUCUAAGCUGAAAGAGAAACUAGAGGAAUUCUGCAAAGAAGAGAUUGAACAGAUAUCUGGCAGAGUGACAUACAGUGAAAUUAUUCCCCUCAAAGCACUGAAGACCAGGCCAGAGGUCCUGCAGCAUUGCAGGUUUCUGACUCUGGAUCCAAACACAGCAAAUAAACGCCUCCGUCUGUCUGAAGAAGACAGAGCAGCUACUUACACCGACACAGAUCAGCCGUAUCCUGAUCAUCCAGACAGAUUUGAUAGUUAUUCUCAGGUGUUGUGUAGAGAGAGUGUGUGUGGACGCUGUUACUGGGAGCUGCAGUGGAGUGGAGAUGAAGUGGAGAUAUCAGUGUCAUAUAAGAGCAUCAGCAGGAAGGGACGAAGUAAAGAGUCUGAGUUUGGAUGUAAUGAUCAGUCCUGGAGUUUGAGCUGCACUUCCUCCAGUUACUCAUUCUGGCACAAUAACAUAAAGACAGAUCUCCCUCUAGAGUCCAUCAGCAGGAGAACAGGAGAGUAUGAUGAUGAUG